AUUGAACGCUGGCGGCAGGCCUAACACAUGCAAGUCGAGCGGAUGAAGGGAGCUUGCUCCUGGAUUCAGCGGCGGACGGGUGAGUAAUGCCUAGGAAUCUGCCUGGUAGUGGGGGAUAACGUCCGGAAACGGGCGCUAAUACCGCAUACGUCCUGAGGGAGAAAGGGGGGGAUCUUCGGACCUCACGCGAUCAGAUGAGCCUAGGUCGGAUUAGCUAGUUGGUGGGGUAAAGGCCUACCAAGGCGACGAUCCGUAACUGGUCUGAGAGGAUGAUCAGUCACACUGGAACUGAGACACGGUCCAGACUCCUACGGGAGGCAGCAGUGGGGAAUAUUGGACAAUGGGCGAAAGCCUGAUCCAGCCAUGCCGCGUGUGUGAAGAAGGUCUUCGGAUUGUAAAGCACUUUAAGUUGGGAGGAAGGGCAGUAAGUUAAUACCUUGCUGUUUUGACGUUACCAACAGAAUAAGCACCGGCUAACUUCGUG
Molecule: ribosomal RNA, 484 nt
Filed under: uncultured bacterium
Lineage: Bacteria
Description: partial 16S ribosomal RNA
Rfam family: Bacterial small subunit ribosomal RNA
Source: RNAcentral